This 148-nucleotide small RNA is filed under the name Pongo abelii (Sumatran orangutan). RNAcentral describes it as "Metazoan signal recognition particle RNA (ENSPPYG00000033029.1)". It matches the Rfam family "Metazoan signal recognition particle RNA". From Rfam's summary of the family: The signal recognition particle (SRP) is a universally conserved ribonucleoprotein. It is involved in the co-translational targeting of proteins to membranes. The eukaryotic SRP consists of a 300-nucleotide 7S RNA and six proteins: SRPs 72, 68, 54, 19, 14, and 9. The record is from Rfam by way of RNAcentral. Lineage: Eukaryota; Metazoa; Chordata; Mammalia; Primates; Hominidae.
GCUGGGCUCAGUGGCGGGUGCCUGUAAUCCUAGCUACUUGGGAGGCUGAGGCAGGAGAAUCGCUUGAACCCAGGAGGCGGAGGUUGCAGUGAGCCGAGAUCAUACCACUGCACUCCAGCCUGGGUAACACAGCGAGACUCUGUCUCAA